AUAAUUAUGCAGGGUGAUUGGUAACUGGUGGUACAAGCGGAAAGGGGGUGAUUCUACGCGAAAAAAGAAGUCGAAAAUGUAGAAUAAAAAUUUUUCGUUCGAGGCUUUGUUUUCGAGAAAAUCGACUUUGAAUUUUCGCUCGGUACGCGUGCACUUUAUCACAUCUCGUUAUAACGGAUCUCACUGUAGAUCCAAAAAAAAAAAUAAAAAAAAGAAAAAAA
RNAcentral lists this unclassified non-coding RNA (221 nucleotides) under Bombus terrestris (buff-tailed bumblebee). RNAcentral's name for it is "misc RNA ENSBTSG00005030111.1". The record is from RNAcentral. Lineage: Eukaryota; Metazoa; Arthropoda; Insecta; Hymenoptera; Apidae.